RNAcentral lists this long non-coding RNA (1819 nucleotides) under Anser brachyrhynchus (Pink-footed goose). RNAcentral's name for it is "lncRNA (ENSABRG00000018703.1)". Lineage: Eukaryota; Metazoa; Chordata; Aves; Anseriformes; Anatidae. The record is from RNAcentral.
UUUAUGGGCUUUGAAAGAGAUUCUGGAUAACACAGAGCAAUUAAGAUGCCAUUUUAAUAGUUCUUUCAAGUGAAAUCGAGUGAGUAAUUAAAUAAAAUUGAAUGAGGACCAUGUCAGGCCACCCACAAGCUUUCAUAUGCACUACAAAUACAUGAGUAAGUCAGGGUGGGGGGCAAAUGUUGUGUGGCUAAGUGGCCCUAUUUAUGUAUUAUUCAGUGACUCUAGGAAUGAGGUUUUCAGCUGAAAGAUUUGAUUUCUUUUUACAGUGUUUCCCAGCAAGAACAUCCAAGUUUGGCUAUUGCUAUUCAAGCAGUACUAACUUUUCUAUCUUUUAAAAUUCUUUAUGGUGGUGUUAAUGUCAUUAUUUUGUAUAGACUGCCUAUGGUAAAAGUCACGGAACAUAACCAAGAUUUCUAACAUUAAACACUGAAUUUGAAUUUCUGCUGCCUUGUUAUGCAUAUGAUUAUAUAUAGAUGCUUGUUGAAAGCUCUGCUUUAGAGCACAGGCAUGGGGUAUGGUAUUAUGAGUACUUUUUAUUCAUUUUACAGAGAGGAAAAAAAAACAAUGUGCAGGCGAAGGAAAAACAGGUGCUUUUGAGACUUCCAAUAUGGUAACUAACAGCACUUCUGCAUACCUGAGGACUGCAAAAAAUGGCUCCGUGCCAUAAUACACUUCGAAGUUUCAAACUCUGCUAGCAAGGGUCAUUGUGGCCAAAGGCAUCUGGAUGCUUUUUUUCCUGCACUAAGUCUGAAGGCUCUGCACAAUUUGCUGAUGAUGUACACUCUCGGCAGCUCCACACCACCAUCAGAAAGGAGAUGGCUAACCAGCAGUGCUAGAGCUAGACAAGGUGCAAAGAGAUAAGAUGCAAUCACGUGCCAGGACCGUGUUGUAUGGAUUGUGUUGGCCCAGCUGCUCGUGGAUGAGCAUGGUUAUGGAAGAAGCAGCCACACAGGUGGGUGCCAGCUUCAGCAAGCCUGCUGUCCAAGCUCACUCUGCUUCAGUUACAGCACCCAUGAAGAACUAAAAGACCAAUGACUUAUCCCUAGCCUCAGCAAGAGAGAGACAGGCAGGAUCUUAUCCAUGAGGUGAGUAACUGUUGAGAGGCAUUAAUGAUAAAGUAAUCAUGACAACUACAUAAUUUCACAAUGUCAACCUACGCAUGCAGUGACAGAGGCAGAUCACGGAGGAGGGUAACCUCUGGCAGGGGAAAAAAGGAAAAGCAACAGUGAGCAGCUGGGAGGGUGCCCAGGAGCUUCAGUCUCUGACCCAGUUCAGCUGCAGAUUCAGCAACACAUCCAAGCAAUGUCUCAUUAACAGCUUUAUAAAUUUCUGCAAUAUCUGGGUGUUGUCUAAAGGUUUCCCUUGAGCACACCCACGUAAUCUGAGCCUCAGCCAGUACGGCUAUAGAAUAUACAGGAAAAACUAACAAUGCUUCUUUUUAAGAAACAGAUAUCAGCAUCUGAAAUAAGUCACUGUGCUUGACUUAGCCAAACCAAAUUCCUGAUGUCUAGAGUUUUGUCUAUCUAAUGAUAGCAGGAUUAGACACUAUAUGCAUGAAUAUACUGCACGACUGUGCAAAACCAAAUAGUGCCACAAAGAUAAUUGUGGUUUAAUUAAUACAGUCUGCUGCUCCAUGCUCCACCAAGUUUUUGAUUAUUUGUCCAUCUUUAAAUUUUCAACAAAGCAUUCCUGCACAGUCGGAUGCCAAAAAAAAAAAAAAAAAAAAAGAACAAAAAAUGUAUCUUGCUUUCCUUUUUGGAAGUUUGGCUUGUUUUCAAGCCAUUUCAUUCAAUAAAAUAUAUUUUUUGGUUUAUUAACA